This 368-nucleotide ribosomal RNA is filed under the name uncultured organism. RNAcentral's name for it is "bacterial SSU rRNA". It matches the Rfam family "Bacterial small subunit ribosomal RNA", at positions 526 to 896 of the family's 1533-position model. The record is from RNAcentral.
CGUAGGUGGCAAGCGUUGUCCGGAUUUAUUGGGUUUAAAGGGUGCGUAGGCGGCUUUAUAAGUCAGUGCUGAAAUAUCCCGGCUUAACCGGGAGGGUGGCAUUGAUACUGCAGAGCUUGAGUGAAGUCGAGGUAGGCGGAAUUGACGGUGUAGCGGUGAAAUGCUUAGAUAUCGUCAAGAACACCAAUAGUGAAGACAGCUUACUAGACUUCAACUGACGCUGAGGCACGAAAGUGUGGGGAUCAAACAGGAUUAGAUACCCUGGUAGUCCACACUGUAAACGUUGAUUACUCGAUGUGUGCGAUAUACAGUACGCGUCUUAGCGAAAGCGAUAAGUAAUCCACCUGGGGAGUACGCCGGCAACGGUG